UUUGAAAAAGCAGAACUCCGGUCGACGCUGUUUUGCUCUGUUCUUUUCUUUUUUGCUGAUUGUACUUUAAUAAAAGACACUUUGAGUAAAGAAUCUCAAAGAUUAUUUUUCCUCUCCUCCUCCUCCUGCUGCAAGGUUUCACUCUGAAGAAUGGAAGGUCUCUACGUUACCAGCAGCUCACAGGACCAAAGCUACGAUUACAGCAGCACCACCUUCAACUACCAGGAUUACAAUGAGCACUAUGAGUAUCUCAAAAAACUUCGUCUCAUCUUAAAUGUGGUCACAUGCAUAAUCAUUGCUGUCGGCCUUCCUCUGACCCUGGUGGCCAUCUAUGCUCUUUAUUCUAUGGUGAGAAGUGAUCAAGUUGCUCCCAUCUACCUCAUCAACCUCCUUGUUUCCGAUAUCCUUCAGUUCUGCUGCAUCAUUUUUCAGGUCGCACCAGAUGUGGAUUGGAAGAUAAUAAGAUCUUCAAUGAUAUUUACGACUCUGCUCUAUUUGCCAGUGUUACUUCAUGGUCUGCAUCGCCCUGGAA
Micropterus salmoides (largemouth bass) is the source of this 532-nucleotide long non-coding RNA. RefSeq lists it as uncharacterized. The record is from RefSeq and is a predicted model, not a curated record. The transcript has 3 exons. Lineage: Eukaryota; Metazoa; Chordata; Actinopteri; Centrarchiformes; Centrarchidae.